UUAAGUUAUUAAGGGCGCACGGUGGAUGCCUUGGCACUAGAAGCCGAUGAAGGACGUUACUAACGACGAUAUGCUUUGGGGAGCUGUAAGUAAGCUUUGAUCCAGAGAUUUCCGAAUGGGGAAACCCAGCAUGAGUUAUGUCAUGUUAUCGAUAUGUGAAUACAUAGCAUAUCAGAAGGCACACCCGGAGAACUGAAACAUCUUAGUACCCGGAGGAAGAGAAAGAAAAUUCGAUUCCCUUAGUAGCGGCGAGCGAAACGGGAAGAGCCCAAACCAACAAGCUUGCUUGUUGGGGUUGUAGGACACUCUAUACGGAGUUACAAAGGACGACAUUAGACGAAUCAUCUGGAAAGAUGAAUCAAAGAAGGUAAUAAUCCUGUAGUCGAAAAUGUUGUCUCUCUUGAGUGGAUCCUGAGUACGACGGAGCACGUGAAAUUCCGUCGGAAUCUGGGAGGACCAUCUCCUAAGGCUAAAUACUCUCUAGUGACCGAUAGUGAACCAGUACCGUGAGGGAAAGGUGAAAAGCACCCCGGAAGGGGAGUGAAAUAGAACCUGAAACCGUGUGCUUACAAGUAGUCAGAGCCCGUUAAUGGGUGAUGGCGUGCCUUUUGUAGAAUGAACCGGCGAGUUACGAUUUGAUGCAAGGUUAAGCAGUAAAUGUGGAGCCGUAGCGAAAGCGAGUCUGAAUAGGGCGUUUAGUAUUUGGUCGUAGACCCGAAACCAGGUGAUCUACCCUUGGUCAGGUUGAAGUUCAGGUAACACUGAAUGGAGGACCGAACCGACUUACGUUGAAAAGUGAGCGGAUGAACUGAGGGUAGCGGAGAAAUUCCAAUCGAACCUGGAGAUAGCUGGUUCUCUCCGAAAUAGCUUUAGGGCUAGCCUCAAGUGAUGAUUAUUGGAGGUAGAGCACUGUUUGGACGAGGGGCCCCUCUCGGGUUACCGAAUUCAGACAAACUCCGAAUGCCAAUUAAUUUAACUUGGGAGUCAGAACAUGGGUGAUAAGGUCCGUGUUCGAAAGGGAAACAGCCCAGACCACCAGCUAAGGUCCCAAAAUAUAUGUUAAGUGGAAAAGGAUGUGGCGUUGCCCAGACAACUAGGAUGUUGGCUUAGAAGCAGCCAUCAUUUAAAGAGUGCGUAAUAGCUCACUAGUCGAGUGACACUGCGCCGAAAAUGUACCGGGGCUAAACAUAUUACCGAAGCUGUGGAUUGUCCUUUGGACAAUGGUAGGAGAGCGUUCUAAGGGCGUUGAAGCAUGAUCGUAAGGACAUGUGGAGCGCUUAGAAGUGAGAAUGCCGGUGUGAGUAGCGAAAGACGGGUGAGAAUCCCGUCCACCGAUUGACUAAGGUUUCCAGAGGAAGGCUCGUCCGCUCUGGGUUAGUCGGGUCCUAAGCUGAGGCCGACAGGCGUAGGCGAUGGAUAACAGGUUGAUAUUCCUGUACCACCUAUAAUCGUUUUAAUCGAUGGGGGGACGCAGUAGGAUAGGCGAAGCGUGCGAUUGGAUUGCACGUCUAAGCAGUAAGGCUGAGUAUUAGGCAAAUCCGGUACUCGUUAAGGCUGAGCUGUGAUGGGGAGAAGACAUUGUGUCUUCGAGUCGUUGAUUUCACACUGCCGAGAAAAGCCUCUAGAUAGAAAAUAGGUGCCCGUACCGCAAACCGACACAGGUAGUCAAGAUGAGAAUUCUAAGGUGAGCGAGCGAACUCUCGUUAAGGAACUCGGCAAAAUGACCCCGUAACUUCGGGAGAAGGGGUGCUCUUUAGGGUUAACGCCCAGAAGAGCCGCAGUGAAUAGGCCAAGCGACUGUUUAUCAAAAACACAGGUCUCUGCUAAACCGUAAGGUGAUGUAUAGGGGCUGACGCCUGCCCGGUGCUGGAAGGUUAAGAGGAGUGGUUAGCUUCUGCGAAGCUACGAAUCGAAGCCCAGUAAACGGCGGCCGUAACUAUAACGGUCCUAAGGUAGCGAAAUUCCUUGUCGGGUAAGUUCCGACCCGCACGAAAGGCGUAACGAUUUGGGCACUGUCUCAACGAGAGACUCGGUGAAAUCAUAGUACCUGUGAAGAUGCAGGUUACCCGCGACAGGACGGAAAGACCCCGUGGAGCUUUACUGUAGCCUGAUAUUGAAAUUCGGCACAGCUUGUACAGGAUAGGUAGGAGCCUUUGAAACGUGAGCGCUAGCUUACGUGGAGGCGCUGGUGGGAUACUACCCUAGCUGUGUUGGCUUUCUAACCCGCACCACUUAUCGUGGUGGGAGACAGUGUCAGGCGGGCAGUUUGACUGGGGCGGUCGCCUCCUAAAAGGUAACGGAGGCGCUCAAAGGUUCCCUCAGAAUGGUUGGAAAUCAUUCAUAGAGUGUAAAGGCAUAAGGGAGCUUGACUGCGAGACCUACAAGUCGAGCAGGGUCGAAAGACGGACUUAGUGAUCCGGUGGUUCCGCAUGGAAGGGCCAUCGCUCAACGGAUAAAAGCUACCCCGGGGAUAACAGGCUUAUCUCCCCCAAGAGUUCACAUCGACGGGGAGGUUUGGCACCUCGAUGUCGGCUCAUCGCAUCCUGGGGCUGUAGUCGGUCCCAAGGGUUGGGCUGUUCGCCCAUUAAAGCGGUACGCGAGCUGGGUUCAGAACGUCGUGAGACAGUUCGGUCCCUAUCCGUCGUGGGCGUAGGAAAUUUGAGAGGAGCUGUCCUUAGUACGAGAGGACCGGGAUGGACAUACCUCUGGUGUACCAGUUGUCGUGCCAACGGCAUAGCUGGGUAGCUAUGUGUGGACGGGAUAAGUGCUGAAAGCAUCUAAGCAUGAAGCCCCCCUCAAGAUGAGAUUUCCCAACUUCGGUUAUAAGAUCCCUCAAAGAUGAUGAGGUUAAUAGGUUCGAGGUGGAAGCAUGGUGACAUGUGGAGCUGACGAAUACUAAUCGAUCGAAGACUUAAUCAA
This 2919-nucleotide ribosomal RNA is filed under the name Staphylococcus aureus. RNAcentral describes it as "23S ribosomal RNA". It matches the Rfam family "Bacterial large subunit ribosomal RNA". Lineage: Bacteria; Bacillati; Bacillota; Bacilli; Caryophanales; Staphylococcaceae. The record is from RNAcentral.